This 453-nucleotide ribosomal RNA is filed under the name uncultured Sphingomonas sp. RNAcentral describes it as "bacterial SSU rRNA". It matches the Rfam family "Bacterial small subunit ribosomal RNA", at positions 8 to 507 of the family's 1533-position model. The record is from RNAcentral. Lineage: Bacteria; Pseudomonadati; Pseudomonadota; Alphaproteobacteria; Sphingomonadales; Sphingomonadaceae.
AGAGUUUGAUCCUGGCUCAGAACGAACGCUGGCGGCAUGCCUAACACAUGCAAGUCGAACGAGACCUUCGGGUCUAGUGGCGCACGGGUGCGUAACGCGUGGGAAUCUGCCCUUGGGUUCGGGAUAACUCGCCGAAAGGCGUGCUAAUACCGGAUGAUGACGUAAGUCCAAAGAUUUAUCGCCCGAGGAUGAGCCCGCGUUGGAUUAGGUAGUUGGUGAGGUAAAGGCUCACCAAGCCGACGAUCCAUAGCUGGUCUGAGAGGAUGAUCAGCCACACUAGGACUGAGACACGGCCCAGACUCCUACGGGAGGCAGCAGUGGGGAAUAUUGGACAAUGGGCGAAAGCCUGAUCCAGCAAUGCCGCGUGAGUGAUGAAGGCCUUAGGGUUGUAAAGCUCUUUUACCCGGGAUGAUAAUGACAGUACCGGGAGAAUAAGCUCCGGCUAACUCCGUG